This 779-nucleotide unclassified non-coding RNA is filed under the name Homo sapiens (human). RNAcentral's name for it is "major histocompatibility complex, class I, F (ENSG00000229698.11)". The record is from RNAcentral. Lineage: Eukaryota; Metazoa; Chordata; Mammalia; Primates; Hominidae.
GCAGUUCCCAGGUUCUAAAGUCCCACGCACCCCGCGGGACUCAUAUUUUUCCCAGACGCGGAGGUUGGGGUCAUGGCGCCCCGAAGCCUCCUCCUGCUGCUCUCAGGGGCCCUGGCCCUGACCGAUACUUGGGCAGGUGAGUGCGGGGUCCAGAGAGAAACGGCCUCUGUGGGGAGGAGUGAGGGGCCCGCCCGGUGGGGGCGCAGGACUCAGGGAGCCGCGCCCGGAGGAGGGUCUGGCGGGUCUCAGCCCCUCCUCGCCCCCAGGCUCCCACUCCUUGAGGUAUUUCAGCACCGCUGUGUCGCGGCCCGGCCGCGGGGAGCCCCGCUACAUCGCCGUGGAGUACGUAGACGACACGCAAUUCCUGCGGUUCGACAGCGACGCCGCGAUUCCGAGGAUGGAGCCGCGGGAGCCGUGGGUGGAGCAAGAGGGGCCGCAGUAUUGGGAGUGGACCACAGGGUACGCCAAGGCCAACGCACAGACUGACCGAGUGGCCCUGAGGAACCUGCUCCGCCGCUACAACCAGAGCGAGGCUGGGUCUCACACCCUCCAGGGAAUGAAUGGCUGCGACAUGGGGCCCGACGGACGCCUCCUCCGCGGGUAUCACCAGCACGCGUACGACGGCAAGGAUUACAUCUCCCUGAACGAGGACCUGCGCUCCUGGACCGCGGCGGACACCGUGGCUCAGAUCACCCAGCGCUUCUAUGAGGCAGAGGAAUAUGCAGAGGAGUUCAGGACCUACCUGGAGGGCGAGUGCCUGGAGUUGCUCCGCAGAUACU